Molecule: non-coding RNA, 46 nt
Filed under: Trichobilharzia regenti
Lineage: Eukaryota; Metazoa; Platyhelminthes; Trematoda; Strigeidida; Schistosomatidae
Source: RNAcentral
GUGCUAGUGAAGAGUCCCAAACUAGGACGAAACAGUUGUCCAGUAC